This 254-nucleotide ribosomal RNA is filed under the name uncultured prokaryote. RNAcentral describes it as "partial 16S ribosomal RNA". It matches the Rfam family "Bacterial small subunit ribosomal RNA", at positions 525 to 777 of the family's 1533-position model. The record is from RNAcentral.
ACGGGGGGAGCAAGCGUUGUUCGGAUUUACUGGGCGUAAAGGGCGCGUAGGCGGCCACCGCAAGUCGACUGUGAAAUCUCCGGGCUUAACCCGGAAAGGUCAGCCGAUACUGCGGGGCUAGAGUGCAGAAGGGGCAACUGGAAUUCUCGGUGUAGCGGUGAAAUUCGUAGAUAUUCGCAGGAACACCAGUGGCGAAGGCGACUUGCUGGAUCUUUGCUGACGCUGAGACGCGAAAGCGUGGGGAGCAAACGGGA